This 10733-nucleotide long non-coding RNA is filed under the name Triticum aestivum (bread wheat). RNAcentral's name for it is "long non-coding RNA (TAES_LNC016470)". The record is from RNAcentral. Lineage: Eukaryota; Viridiplantae; Streptophyta; Magnoliopsida; Poales; Poaceae.
UAGAAUGCUGGGUGUCUCGUGAGUGCAUGCUGGGUCGCUUGUGGUUCCGUGAUCAUAUGCGUAAUGCGACGAGACGUCACUCGUCUUACGGUCUUGCCUUCUGCUCAGCAUUGUAUUAGCUAUUUGUAUAUGCAACUCUGAAAACUUCGAACUGCUACCUUUCUACUAUCGCAGUCGCUUGUAGAUACCUGUCCUGUUACUUGUGUGUACGUGCGGCAGAUGUGUUCUCGUGUGGAUGUUCUUAGUGAAAACCUGAAUGGAUGUUCUUGAAAGAAAAUAACCUGCUGAAUACUACUGGACUAUUAAUUCACUACCUUGCUGUGAUUGUUUGUGCAAACUGGAUGAAACGAGUCUGACCCGAAAGGCAACAAGAUUCGGUGGUCUCCUUGGUAUGGCCCCCCGAAAGGUUCUUGACGUUUUCUUAAGAUGUUUUUGUUGGUGAUGUUGGCGGGCCUCUCUCGCGCGGAUGCGUCAAAGGGACCGGCCCUGGACUGCGCGCUAGGUCAGGAUGGGCGCCGGGGUGGCGGCCCGGGUUCUCUCUGUGGUGGUGACCGUUGCGGUGGCCGCGUGGGCGGCACCUCGCGACUCCGGCGCCGGCGGCUGGAGCACCCCGACUACCUCGCCGGCGACCUUCUCCAGCGGGACGGCGGCUCGUGCAGCUGUUUGGCGGGCCGCUUUGUCUGGUCCUGGUGGUUGUUGCGUCGGUGGCAGCCCGUGCUCAUCGCUUGGUGGUUGUGGUCUGGUGGUUUGCGUCGCGUUGGCUGCGGUUCUUCGUGGAUGGUUCGACUCGGGAAAGCUGCCACAUCCGGCCGGUUCGGCUCGCUGGUUCUGGUCCGCGCCAAGAUUUGUGGUGGCUUCUGCUUGGUCACGACGCGAUGGCUUCGUGAAAGGUGUGCGGGCUACGGGAAGUGCAGUGCGUGGGGUUGUGGUGUUGGGUGGUGCUCCAGACAAAAGCUUGUUGGGCUCUUACCGGGCGACGGCGUCGGCAUCCGUGGACGUCGUCUCACCUUGGAGGCGCCGCCAAGGAGUUCUUUUCUUGCACAUCCUCGAAUCUAGUUCUUCGGGUGAAAGUCUAAGACCCGACUUGGUCGGGCAACAACGUCUUGCAUCGUCGCUGCCCUCUUUGGGGCAUCGUCUUGAAGAUCUUUGUAUCCCGUUUGCGCGCUCCAUGUGCUGGACACUCACGAUAUUGCUAUCGGUAGGUGCUCGUCUGACGAUGUGGAUGCUUUGCACGGCUUCUUGUGUGGCAAUGAUGGAGGCUUCGAGCGGAGUCGGGUUUGCAGCUGUGUUCUGGUAGUCGGUCUCAUCCCGCGUGUUUGAGGGGUCGUUGUGUCUCGCUUGUCUUUUGAAGUCGGAGCUGCUGAGGAGGAGCCUUGCGAUGACGAUGGCCCAGUGCUUUUUCUCCUGCAAUGCUCGUCAAUAGUCGGAGUCGCUUGGUCGCCGACGCGUGGUAGUCGGUCUCAUCCCGCGUGUUUGAGAGGCCGUUGUGUCUCGCUUGUCUUUUGAAGUCGGAGCUGCCGAGGGGGAGCCUUGCGAUGACGAUGGCUCUAUGCUUUUUCUCCUGCAAUGCUCGUCGAUAGAGUCGGAGCCGCCUGGUCGCCGGCGUGUGCGGUGGACUGUUUGGCAUUGGCUGGCGCAUGCCUCUGUGCUUGUCUGUGAUAGAGGCUACAUUGGUGGUCGUCGAUGGUGGAGUCAGAGUCGCCCUCAUGGAGUUGUGAUGACAAUGACACCGGAUUGCAAUCUCGACGACGCUCUUCUCCUCGACGGCAUGUGUACGUUCUUGUGUGGGUUGCCAGGUCAUCCUGUAUGCCUUAUUUUUACGAGCAUGUUGUGACGAUUUUUGCUCGUUUUUUGUUAAUUAAUUGGGCAAUUUUCUUCGACCUUUUUUUAAUAAAUCGGACCCUGAAGACCACGUUUAAAAAAAGAAAGAGAGAACACGGACAACAGACGCCAACGUUGUUUGUUUUUGAGGACCAAGUAUAUGGAAGUUGUCUGCUAAUAAAUCGAUUUGUGAGCCGUCCGAUUUAAAAUCUGAGGCUGAUGUGCUUUCUUGUUUCUACAUUCUGACCUCUUUUCGUUCGUCCCACCGGCGCCGGCCACCUGCUGUCGCCAUCCGCGGCUGCGCUCUCGCACACACCUCGCUCUUCUCGCCGCCACCGCCGAUCUGUUGCGCGUCGUCUUCCACUCUGGGUCACUCCCCGUUUGGCUUCACCGAUGUCGCCGCGGCGCAUCCGUCUAGGUCUCGCCGCUUCGCCUAAAAUUGGUCAACACAAAUUCGUUUUUUAGGCAACUUACAAAUAGCUAUGCAUUGUUUUUAUGCAUGCUUUAUUUUACGGAUUGUUUUUAUGCAUGCUGGUUUAAUUACUCACUGGAAAUGUUGGCUAGAAAUAGGCUAGCCCACACUGGAUAACUGUACGUGUUUGUUAAGACAAGUUAUGUUUCAUCUGUCACGGCUGCUGUACAUGUUUUUGGAACAGAGACAAGUUCAGCCACGUGAUGUAGUAGAUAGAUUGUACUGUACUACUCAAGUGUAUAUUGAUCGUUGGACAAUUUCAAGUUUUCAACCAAGUGAGCGGUAGGUGGGCGGCGGCUGCACGCGGCCGCUCUGUUGUUCCUUCCUUCCUCAUCCUCUUUUCCCCGCCUUGUCGCCCGUCCACGCCGUGGAGAGACCGCAGACCAGAGCCGUUCGCACCGCCAUUGCAGCUUGCCCAGGCAGGUGCUCGUGCGCUCCUGCUCGCCCGCGGCCCCUGCCCCUCCCCCUCCCCAGGUCCGUUCGUUCGUUCCCUUGUUUCUGAUAGAAACCUCUGGUCAUCCAGGCUGCACGCCACCUGUUCGUUGGAAUGCUUCUGCCCGCUGUACGCCGUUUGUCUGACCCAAAACCUUUCACUUUCCUUUGAUUGUGCUGCGCAGCAGCGAUGGCGACGGCGUUCUCAACCAAGCAGCCCCUGCGGGUCGCUACGCCUGCAAGCAAAUGUGAGCCUUUUCUGGCCCUUCGCUGUUCGUCAACUCAUUCAUUGUGCCUUGUGGGUGCUUUUGGAUUACUGCAACUUUAGCACUUGUUGGUUGUAGCUAAGCCUGGGAAUAGUUUCACAUCCAAACCAAAGCUAGUCCAGUCCAUAGCACUAUACGCCCAGGAUUCAAACCAAACCGAUCCAAACCAAAUAAGCUAGAACCCAGACCAAACCAAAUUGUAUGUUUUUUCAACCCAACCACAUCCAGAUUGUUUCUGAUUUUUGGAUUGAAACCACAAACUCGAACUAUGGACAAAGCCCUUAACGUGAAAAGGGCAUAAGCAGUCAACGACCAAGCCCAAUCAGGGAUAAUAAUUUCUAAAGUGAUAUGGGCAAUCCAGACCAAGCUAAGAGCAUCUACAGCCGCAACCUGCAAAUCUGGGCCCUCAAACGCACACGGCCGCGUCCGGCGCGUCCGCGGACACUGACCGCACACUUCUCAAAUCCUAUCGUCCAUAUCCGUGCAUCUCAUAUUCGGUCCCUAUAUCCUUACUAAGCAUGCAACGUGGAACUAAACAACGUAGAUCAUCAAACACACAUAGAAUCGGACAUAGAAAUGCACAUUCCAAUCACCAAAAGAUCACCAACGGUUCUCCAAAAGAUCGCCAAAGUUCACAUAAUUCAUAUAAAUGACGGACAAGUUUAAACUGGAUUACUAAAAACUUGAAAUUAAAGACAGAGACGGUGGAGCUUCACCACUUCCUCACCGAGCCUUUGCCCUUUCGGUCGCCGGUGCAUAUAUAGGCGUCCGCGGCUGGUGGUGGGUCUUGGUUGUCCAAGGAGGAGGUGAAGCUGUCGCGGUCGCCGUCGUUGUCGUCGGAGUCGGAGAGGACGAUGAGCCCUGUCAUCCGACGGACCGCCGUGUCCUUCUCCCGCUUCAACUUGGCGACCCGAGCCUUCUCUGCCGCUGCAUCCUUUGCCUCGCACUCCGACUGCUCAAUAGCAAGCCGGAGCGCCUUGGCGUUGUUCCGCCGGAGGCGGCGAGCGUCCGUCUCGCCGUCGUGAGGGACCGACGGUAGACCCAUCGGAGGAGCCGCGCGUCCUCGUCGGGCUCUGCCUGCAUCCCGCGGCGGCGGUGCACGGACUUCUCCGCAUUGUCCCUCUCCCAUGCACGCUGCGCGAACCUCCGGUUCCGGAAUGCGCGUGCGGGCCGACAGCGCGGGCACUAGCACCCACCGCCGCCCGCGUGGAGUGGCCGGCGGGGGAAGGAGACGGUGCGAGGGCGGUGCGGACUACGUGUCCUAGCUUCGUUGCAUAUGGGCCAGGAGGGUCCAACUCCGGUGUCCGCGUUGCGUUGGCGUGGGAGCUGCGACGACGCUCCAGAUCCGGAGCUGCCGUAUGUGUCCACCUUGGACCGCUCCAACGCAAUGCGGAGGGCCAUCUCCUCCUCGCAGUCGAGCUCGGAGCUGGGGUCGCUGUAGGAGCUGGACAUCGGAGUUGAUGAGAACGGAAUUAGAGAGGGAGAGGAGAGGACGAAGCAAGAGAGAGUGAGUUUGGGGUUCGAAGUGAGGCGCCAGAAUUGGGGUUUUUGUGAGACAGUUGUGGGGUCGGUGGUGGGUCGGGCCAGCCAGGCAGACGCACGCGGGCGUUCCAGGGCCGCCCCAUAUCUGCCCUAUAUUUGGGCUAGAUAUGAGGGGCGCCGGUCGGCCCAGGCUUUUGUCCGCAAUUUGAGAGGUCCGGUAGGUCGUUUUUUUUUUGACCAGUCAGUGACCGACGACCUGUCAGGGCAUUUGUGACGGGUAGCAUGUCUACCUACAGAGGCGAGAGGUCGUGGGUGAGAGAGAGGGCCCACCCACCUGCAACAAAAGCUUGGCGUCAUCCAGACGCCCCCGCCGUCGACGCAGCCAGGAGGACCAAAGAGUAGGGAGAGUGUAGGAGGAAGGACAGGGUACAGCUGGUGACAACGGCACCUAACCUGGGGCGGAUGGAAUCGCUGGUCUCGUACAGAUGUAGAGUCGAAUUGGUCGCUUGAUCCAGUUUUUGUCUAUGGAUUGAAACAGGCUAUGACCGUUCGGUCUCUGUCCAGACCAAACCAAGCCAAUCUACUAUAAUUGCUACAGCCCACACUAGACCAAAUUACCACAGGUGCUCAGCCCAUUUAAUCCAACCCAAAGCAAACUGAUGGGAAAACCGAACUGAAACUUCAGUUUGAGUCCAAACCAGUCCCAGGUUUAGUUGUAGCAUUAGAAAUUGGAACUUCCAGCAGCGCCACCAUGAUUAUCGGCGGCGCCCAAUUCUCACAUUCAUUUUGUUAUUAGGGCGUCCAAGGUUGCCACUGGUUAAAGUGCAAUAUUCGUCCAACAAACAAGCUAGUGCUUCCAUUUCAUUGACGUCCAGUGCGGAGGAUGCGGAGAGAAACGAGCCCAUAGUCAAAAUGUGCGGCAUCACAUCUGCCAGAGAUGCAGAAUUCGCCGCAAAGGCUGGAGCUAAACUUAUCGGGAUGAUUCUUUGGCCUAAGUCCAAACGAUCUGUCCAACUGUCAGAAGCGAAGGAAAUAUCCAGAGUAGCAAAGUCAUAUGGGGCUGAAGCUGUUGGUGUGUUUGUCGAUGAUGAUGAAGAGACCAUCUUAAGAGUGUCUGAUUCAUGCGACCUUGAACUUAUCCAGGUACAUUUUCCUUGCUGCUGCUACUCUCUACUACUUGGUAGAACGAUGGUGACUUGUUGUGCUAGUCUUUACUGAUCAGUUGCUUUGACACAGCUUCAUGGAGAUAGUUCUCGAGCACUAGUUCCUGCUCUUGCCAAGAACAACCGGAUUGUAUAUGUUCUUAAUGCUGACGCGGAUGGAAAACUUAUCAAUUCUCCUCCUAGUGAAGAAUAUGACGUUGACUGGUUUUUGGUGGACAGUGCAGAGGGUGGAAGGUACAUAAUGUUGCUCAUUGGGUUGUUGUACUCUCUAAUAUCUUGAUGCUUGUUGUUGUACUAGUUAACAAUGGAGACUAGUGAAGCUCUUAUCUAACAUGCCAGUUACUCACCAAACAAUAGCAAUAUUUUCUUUUACAAUAAUUUCUCUUGUGUUUUAGUAGUUCAAGUAGCGGGGAUUUGGUUUAUAGGAUAAACAUUGUGUGACAUCUUUAAACAGAGUUCACACCGUUGUGUGUUCAAUGGCAAAGUGUGUGACCUGUGGCAAGUAAGGUCCUCGCGCCUCUGCAAAAAUUACUAAUGCGUGUGUUGGAUGCACACUCAUGCAUAUGCUUCCUCGAUACUCUCAAAAAACAUUUUUUCAUUCACACUUUUGGAAUGAAUAGUUACCGCUAUGUAAAUUUUUAUUGCCUGGAACCAGAAGCAUAUACUGAUGUGGAAUCUAUAGGUCUGAUUAAAUCGUUCCGUAUUUGCUUGCAGUGGCAAAGGAUUCAACUGGGAGAAUUUCCGAAUGCCAUCGGUGAAAAGCAAGAACGGCUGGCUGUUAGCAGGAGGACUUCAUGCAGACAAUGUUUGUCAAGCCGCUACCGCUCUAAAACCAAAUGGUGUGGAUGUUAGCAGCGGAAUAUGCUCUCCUGACGGUAUAAGCAAGGACCCGAAGAGAAUAUCAUCCUUCAUGAGAAGCGUACAGUCCUUAAGUUCCCGAUGAGGUCUCUAUUUAGACUCCCCAGGCUUAUUAUAGCUUCUUGCUUCAGUUUGUGAAGACAUUUGCAAAUAAGCUGUCCUGAAUGAUAGCAGUAAAUAAACAACUUUGAAGCUGAGUUCCAACUAUGCUUGUCUAAUGGUAGCAUUAGACCAGUUUCUGCCAUUUUACCUGUUAAGAUAGUAAGAUGGUGUAAAUGUAACUAUGCAAUUCUUCUCCUGUUCGUCGCCGUGCGUUCUUCUUGACUGCAGCAACAUUGUCGGCUGAUCCCAGGCACCACCUGAGGGGCUGCCUGGACGGAACGUUGAGGGAGAAGGGGUAACGAUGGGUUCAUCGUGCCUCCUUGCCACUGAUAGUAGAGGCAGAGUGGGGCUGUUGUGGCCUUGUGGGCAUCAGCAGAGGGCACGAUGAUCACCCUCAAAUCUGUCAUUGUUAAGACCUUACUAAGAUUGGCAUGUUAGAGUUUGGGCAUUAGGUUUAACGCAAAAACGAUCUACCGUGGAUGAUUAGAGCACCUCAUCAUUAGAUAGAAGCGUGAGCAAAACCUGUGAUGCCAUGUGAGCACCCGAUAAGACGCGGCAGUGUGCGCGCGCGGAUUAGAUUUCACGAUUGCUAAAACAGAAAAACAAAUUCAGUCGGCGUGCAGGCCUUCACUGUCGUCCAGGUCUCUCCUCUAUCUCCGCCUCCACCGUCCCUCCCCAGAGCCCACCCCGCAGGCAGUUGGGUGGCCGCGACGGCGCCGCCCAUGGCCGCGCCACUCGCGCGUGUGCCGCUGCUUCGUGCGCCCAGCCGGCCCUUCCCCACCUCCAGGAUCAACCCCCGCCGCCACUUCCGGCCAUCGGUGUCGGUCGCCGUAGGAGGCGUGGGCGGCCCCGUGCUCCGCACCUGCAAGAAUUGCAAGAAGCAGUACGACCCGGCGGCUAAUCACCCCUCAUCCUGCCGCUACCACACGGCCCACUUUGGAGGUGAGAAAUCGUCUCUCUCAUAGCUAUACCUGCUUAUCUUCAGAGUUCAGACACAGUAGUUGGUGAGGAUUCAUCUAGUACCAAAUAGCCCUGUCUUUGUAAAUGAAUUGUACUGCCCAGUGAGUUCGAAACCAUGAUUCGCGAGUAACCACUAGCCGUCGUAUGAUCCGGACUAAAUGUGAGAUCUUCCGCGAGCAGUUUUCAAAUUUAUCUAGUACUCUUAGUGAUCUAAAAGGUCUUAUAUAAGUUUACAGAGGUAGUAAUUGUUCUUUUAUUAGAACUUUGCAUAAUGGUUAAGUUGGGCCUCAUUUUGCACACAAUUUCGAUCUUGUUUUGUUUGAUUCUUGUAGCUUUAGCUGGCCUUCUAUCGUCUUGAGAUACUAGCAUUUUGCUUAGAAAACUUUAUGACUUGUGGAUUGUGAUUAUGGCCAAAGUCGUCAUGAGCACCCUUUUACCAUUUCGAUUGGAGAGGCAUACUAAUUGAGUUGUUUUGUCCUCGAGACCUACAUAGAACUAAAUGGUUCAUUUCUGCCGCUCCAGGGGAAACAAAGAGAAAAUUUGAAAGUGUCCAUUCUGGUGGGACUAUGGAUACUCCGGGUGCAGGCAAAGUGCUCCAGUACUGGCAUUGUUGUGGGUCAGAGGAUCCAUUUGAUGUUGGUUGUACUGCUGCUCCUCACUCUUCAUACGAUGACUAAACACCUGGAUCGUUAUCUGUCAAUUGUGCUCUUGUGAUUCUACUUUUUUUCCCACAUGAAUAGUGGUCCACUGAUUGUGUUUUUUUCCUUGUGUCUGAGUGGCAGCAUCUGCCAACAUGAUUUCUUCUUCUUUAGCUUUCUUACAUUAUCUGGAAACUGAAUGUUCCAUAUGUACAUACCGUCUCUACAUUGUUUAUAUUGCCUUACAUUCUUUCUUUAUUUGAAAUUUGAAUGUUAUCUAGGUAUAUACUCGUUAGCAAGGGAAAAAGGCACCAGGGGCGUUAAUUGUGCAUUUUGCCGCUGCCUAGCGCAUGCCUACCAUGAUUUAGGCUAGGCGUUCUUUUGUCGCCUAGUGCUUAAAGACACGAUUGUGGCACUAAAGUUUGUCUUGAAGUAUCUCCCGGGCUGUCAUCUCAAGCAUUGUUUUCAGUUACAUAUUUGCACAGCAGUAUUAACUGUCUGCAGCGACAAUCCCAGUUUGCAUAAUAGGUUGGAUGAUAACAGGAGCAUGGGAGCCACCGGUGGCAUAAAAAAUCAGGCCGGCACCUCUGCAGAACACUUUCCGCUUUCACAUGCUAAUAUGCCAUGCCAUUGGGACAAAUGGGAUCGAGCAGUAGUACUAGAGGCUAUGUGAAAACAGUGGAAUGAAUACUGUCUGUCAAGAUCAGUUUGCUUGGAAUAAGGAAUGGUGCCUAGUUAUUCCAUGGCUACAUCUUUCAAAAAUAAAACUAGGUAUAAAUAUUGAACUGAACUGAUCAUUUUGCAUCAUGUGAAUUCAUGGAGCAAUUACAGAGUAUAUUCAUGAUGACUGGGACUUACUAGCCUCCUUGAUCAUGUUCAUUCAAUCUACCGGUUGCUCUCAUCAGGUUUCCAAGCUUUGUCCCUCCCUUAGUUGUUGUACCCUGCUACUGCUACUAUGACUUAUCUACCGCUAUCUUGUUUCUGCGGCUAUGGCAUGAACAAAUGUUUGAUAAUUGUAUUACCUUAUCUCCGUGCAUGUGUAGUUGAACAAUCCUGGCAUGUUGUCCUCUUAUCUUGUUAUCCUUGUGCCAGAGUUGUUUGUCCAUUGUAUGGCAUCAACUUUACUAAGGACUUAAAAUUCAGUUCAAGCCUACCCAACACUUGUUUCCUUAUUUUCUCCUUAAUCUCUAACAGUAGGGAUCUCCAAGUCUCUGCCGCCUCAAGUAAAAAAAAACGCUCGUCUUUUAUUUGCAUUUUGAGCUUGUCUAAUUUCAUUGUUUACAUUCAGCGGAUUAGAGUGCGACGACCAAAGCUACAGAGUGCGGCCUCUCCUGCUUUCCCUACUGUUUUUUUUUUUUUUGCGGAAACCCUACUGUUCUAGUUGAACCAGGUCUUUAGCUUACUGCCUGCUUCUUGACUGGUUGCACCAUAUACAUUGACUAGAUUCUAAGAUUCCUUAGAAAAUCUAUCAUUAACAACCAUCCUCAUAUGAAACGUCCCUACUUCAGUUCUGGCCAAAAAAUAAAAGUUCCCUUGAAUCCCCAAUUUUUUAAAGCUUCCCAAAACCUGCUGGGAAGCUUUCGGAAGCUUCCCAAAACCGGACCAGCUUCUCCUGCUACAAAGCAUAGAUGGGCCGGCCGAUUCACACGUCUUCAUCCACCCUGUACCAAUACACCUCAACUAGCGCAGAAGGCGUCAAAUAAGAUUCGGGCCUCUGUUUCUAUGGGAGCAGCUAUGUAUCGCUUGUUUUUUUUUUAGCAAAAGCUACGUAUCUCCUGUUGCAAGGCCAGAGGAGAUCUCGCCUCAAGGGCGCCCUCCCGGCGCUAUUAUUGGGUCGGCCCAAGUAGCACAUUGUUCAUUAUUUAUUUAUUUAUUCGUAUUUUGGAACAAAAAAUAUAAAUACAUAUAUUCUAAUACUUAAAAUUACUUAAUUUCUUUUCAAAAACCACCUAGUUCAAUUUUUUUAACACGAUUUAAAAGCAUUUUUAGCGUACUUAUAAAAAAACGUUGAUAGCAUUCAAAAAACUGUUUGUGAAAAUUCAGAAAACUGUUUGUGAAAAAAAUGUUUCAUACCAUCCAAAAAAAUGUACGAUGCGUUUGGAAAAAAAUGUUCACACCUUUCAAAAACAUUGUGACAUUUACAAAAAUGUUAUGUAUAUUUUUUUAAAAGAUCCGCAUAGUUUAAGAAAAUGCUUCCUCUAAAAAAAUAUUUGAACGAGUAUUUGAAAAAUGGUUAGCAUGUAUACCAAAAAUGUUGAAAAACAUGUAUUUGAAAAAAAUGGUAAUCAUGUAUUUGCAAAAUCUUUUAGAUGUAUACGAAAAAAUGUGUAUGAAAAAAGUAGUCAUUAAAACAUAUAUUUGAAAAAAGUUAAUCAUAUAUUUGAAAAAUGUUAAAAAUGUAUAGAACAUGUUUCUCAUGUAUAAACAAUGUACAAUGUGUAUGAAAAGUAGACAUGUAUUCGAAAAGACCACGGACGAAAACCAACUACAGGUGAAAACCGAAGGGAAAAAACUAAGGAAACCAAAAAAAAAACAAAAA